GACGAACGCUGGCGGCGUGCUUAACACAUGCAAGUCGAGCGGUAAGGCCCUUUCGGGGGUACACGAGCGGCGAACGGGUGAGUAACACGUGGGUGACCUGCCUUUAGCUCUGGGAUAAGCCUGGGAAACCGGGUCUAAUACCGGAUAUGACUCCGCGGCGCAUGUUGUGGGGUGGAAAGCCUUGUGCGGCUGGACAUGGGCCCGCGGCCUAUCAGCUUGUUGGUGGGGUGAUGGCCUACCAAGGCGACGACGGGUAGCCGGCCUGAGAGGGCGACCGGCCACACUGGGACUGAGACACGGCCCAGACUCCUACGGGAGGCAGCAGUGGGGAAUCUUGCGCAAUGGGCGAAAGCCUGACGCAGCGACGCCGCGUGAGGGAUGACGGCC
This 387-nucleotide ribosomal RNA is filed under the name uncultured bacterium. RNAcentral's name for it is "bacterial SSU rRNA". It matches the Rfam family "Bacterial small subunit ribosomal RNA", at positions 28 to 416 of the family's 1533-position model. The record is from RNAcentral.